UGCCUUUUUGUUAAAAUGUACUCUUUAGA
RNAcentral lists this non-coding RNA (29 nucleotides) under Rattus norvegicus (Norway rat). Lineage: Eukaryota; Metazoa; Chordata; Mammalia; Rodentia; Muridae. The record is from RNAcentral.